RNAcentral lists this ribosomal RNA (467 nucleotides) under uncultured bacterium. RNAcentral describes it as "bacterial SSU rRNA". It matches the Rfam family "Bacterial small subunit ribosomal RNA", at positions 29 to 506 of the family's 1533-position model. The record is from RNAcentral.
ACGAACGCUGGCGGCGUGCUUAACACAUGCAAGUCGAACGAGGUCCAAGCAGUCGCAAGACUGCGGACGAUCUAGUGGCGAACGGGUGCGUAACACGUGAGGAACUUGUCCCGGUCUCUGGAAUAACAAGUGGAAACACUUGCUAAUACCGGAUGCCGUCGGUCCAUCGCAUGGUGGACUGACGAAAGGGUUACCGGAUCGGGAGAGCCUCGCGGCCUAUCAGCUUGUUGGUGAGGUAAUGGCUCACCAAGGCAUCGACGGGUAGCUGGUCUGAGAGGAUGAUCAGCCACACUGGGACUGAGACACGGCCCAGACUCCUACGGGAGGCAGCAGUGGGGAAUCUUGCACAAUGGGCGAAAGCCUGAUGCAGCAACGCCGCGUGCGGGAAGAAGGCCCUAGGGUUGUAAACCGCUUUCAGCAGGGAAGAAAAUGACGGUACCUGUAGAAGAAGGUGCGGCCAACUACGU